GCUGGGUAGCUAUGUCGCUGAGUGAUAAGCGCUGAAAGCAUCUAAGCGCGAAGCACGCCCCAAGAUUAGUAAUCGUUUAGACUCGUGGGAGACUACCACGUUGAUAGGCUCUAGGUGUAAGCGCCGUAAGGCGUUUAGCCGAGGAGUACUAAUAAGUCGAAAUC
Molecule: ribosomal RNA, 164 nt
Filed under: Candidatus Giovannonibacteria bacterium RIFCSPHIGHO2_12_FULL_44_29
Lineage: Bacteria; Candidatus Giovannoniibacteriota
Description: partial 23S ribosomal RNA
Rfam family: Bacterial large subunit ribosomal RNA
Source: RNAcentral